AUUGAACGCUGGCGGCAUGCCUUACACAUGCAAGUCGAACGGUAACAGGUCUUCGGAUGCUGACGAGUGGCGAACGGGUGAGUAAUACAUCGGAACGUGCCUAGUAGUGGGGGAUAACAACUCGAAAGAGUGGCUAAUACCGCAUGAGAUCUACGGAUGAAAGCAGGGGAUCGCAAGACCUUGUGCUACUAGAGCGGCCGAUGGCAGAUUAGGUAGUUGGUGGGAUAAAAGCUUACCAAGCCGACGAUCUGUAGCUGGUCUGAGAGGACGAUCAGCCACACUGGGACUGAGACACGGCCCAGACUCCUACGGGAGGCAGCAGUGGGGAAUUUUGGACAAUGGGCGCAAGCCUGAUCCAGCAAUGCCGCGUGCAGGAUGAAGGCCUUCGGGUUGUAAACUGCUUUUGUACGGAACGAAAAGCCCUGGGUUAAUACCCUGGGGUCAUGACGGUACCGUAGGAAUAAGCACCGGCUAACUACGUGCCAGCCGCCGCAGUAA
Molecule: ribosomal RNA, 498 nt
Filed under: uncultured bacterium
Lineage: Bacteria
Description: partial 16S ribosomal RNA
Rfam family: Bacterial small subunit ribosomal RNA
Source: RNAcentral